Molecule: long non-coding RNA, 3259 nt
Organism: Gasterosteus aculeatus aculeatus (three-spined stickleback)
Lineage: Eukaryota; Metazoa; Chordata; Actinopteri; Perciformes; Gasterosteidae
Source: Ensembl
CCUCGCGAGUCAUCACCAGAGGAGCCAAAAAGAUAUCACUACUAAAGCCACAAGGAUGGAUGGAAUGGAGAGGAGGCAAGUGGAUAGACACUCUUUCUAUCACCACAGCCCUCCCCCGCCCCCUCCCGCAAAACACCCCACCCCUCGUUUCCUGCGACUGGGGCCCUCAGCCAGGAACAGUUGCACACCCUGAUAAGCCCGCUCGAAGGGAAGCCUAUGCAUACUGGUAAUCAGCGAGCUGGAUGCAUGCAAUCAAGAACAAUUACAAGCUCUCAUCGUGUUUAUGUAGAGGCCCCUUUCAUGCUGCUUAAGUGAGGGGCAACUGCGCGAUUCAAGUCACACGGUUAAGAGGGCGCACCUCCGCCGGAGUUUGUUCAGCUGCUUGCCUGAAAGGCUUCGCAAACAACUGCAGAUGCCGACAGGCAGCGAUGUUUGGAAAAAGAAAAAAAAGAAGAAAAAAAAGGCUGAGAGCACUCGAAUGUUUAACAGGUGUUUGGGACGAUUGAGCGGAAUGCAUAUUGAGUAACCGAGGGCCGCGGAAAACAGGCAUCCGUCAAACCCGGGUGCGGACAGAGGAGCUUGAACACCCCGAGCCGUAUUCGUGGUAGAAACACCAUCAAUUUGGGGGGACAUGGUUAACUUCAAAUGUUAAGAGUCCUGUCAGGGCUGUGCAAACAGAUUCAUCUGAUAAUAUUUGCAAUUUUUCUAGGUAUGUGUCCGUGUAUGUGUGUUUGCAUGCAAUGUUGGUUUAAGGUCACGGUUAAGGUCACAGCAAGGCCUGUUGAAACCCUGUACGACUAGAAUCCAUUCCAACCACAUGUGCAGUUUUAUGUUUAUAUUUAAUUCUAUGUUGAUACAUAGUUAUGCACCACAAUUAUCGUUUAGGUGUUUGUUUAUUGUACACUUAUUUACUCAUUGUACAGAUAACUCCCCGUGUCAGCUUCACGAAUCAGACAUUCAUCUUCCAUCGCUGUGCUUUGAACGCGAGCAACAGAAACACAUAAAAACAGGGCGUCGUCAAGCGUUUAGCCUGAACCGGUGCAACAUGGUGCUUGCCGUACCAUUUCAUUUUAUAACUAGCAGCAUUGCUACGUUUUCAGUUUAACCUGAUGCUGUAAUCGUGGAGGUCAUUGAGAAUUCAUAGCUACUAUAAGAUUUUCAGUCAAAUGUGUUUAUUUUUGCAGGUUCAGCAUAUAAAUGUUACCUUUCGCGCGUUUAGAUGAUUGCAAUCAGUUGAUGAACGUUUUCUCAAAUACCAAAGCGCCGUGCACACUUUACUCUGCUUUAAUGACGUACGUUGCCACGGGGCCUUUGCACAGCAGACUGGAGCAGAUCCUGAAAUAGAAUUGAACAGAAUUGCGAAUCAGGUUUGAAGUUAGAUUUUAAUCAUUAGAUAGCGAAUGAUUUCUCUACCAUCUGUACAAUAAGUGGACCUGGUCAUGCAGCCACUGAAAGUGUGCUGGAAAUGGCUGAAGGACUUGAAAGGUGCUCCAUGAAUGCAGCUCCAUUCACCAUUUACUUUGCAAACCAUUUUAGUUUGAAACUAGAUACUAAAUAUCCUAAGAAUCCAGUCCUGAACUUCACCCUUUCAACUAUCUCCUCUCAUGUCACAUAACUGGCCGUUGCCACGAAUGCUUCGGCUGCCACUGAAAUAAUGAAGCGAGUGAUUGACCCUUGCGUGACCAAUCCAUUCCUGAGUGAAGCUCAUGGAUUUGGACCCUGCAUCUGUUGGACACGGCUAAUUGCAAACAGACUCACCAGGAUGAGAAAAGGGAAUGUUCUCCGUGUCUUCUGUAUAAAUGUCAGGCCCAACAAACGUCUGUGUUAGAUUACCGUGGCAGGAGUGAUAAGCAGAUGUAAAGACCCGUGGGGGUUAUUUAUUAUCGGGGGGGAAAAGCGUGGAGGAAAAAAAAGGGCCAGAGCACUCCAGUGAGAGCAGCGCUGCGGAGUAAAUAAUGCGCUCUCAUGCAAUAUUAUGUCAGGGCAGCGCGCCUCCCUCUUGGGAUCAUACACCGGAUUGGAUAUACAGCUCGUGCGUUUCUCCCAUCAAGUUUCAAAGUACUCAUGUAGGAACGAGGAAUGUGAAAGUUGAUAGGGGAAGCGUCAGAAGGUGCCUCUGAGGUUAUGUGAGAAGACAAACAUGUGCAUUCAUUGAAGUUGCUUUAUGUCAAACAAUUCCACGAAUAAUGUUAUAAGAAGUAAGAAUGUAUAAUGAGAUACUAAAAUGUGGUUCUGUAUCCUCUGUUUGCAGUGAAAUAGCAAUAUAGUUCCCUAAAAGUCACAUUAUGAGAAUUCUGCACACGGCACUUUAACUUAUUUAACUUAAUUUAUAGUUAACUUAUAAUAGAUGAGCAAUAAAGUAUAUUUUAAUAUCAAUAAGCAAACAAAAGAAGAUUAAUGAAGGCAUGGCAAAUAUGCUUAUAAAUGUGUUAUAGCCUUCUAUUAACUGUAUUAUAAUGCCAUUAUUAACACUUAUAUAGGCUUAUAAAUGUUAAUAAGCAUCUUGUAGGGACUUGCAAGGGCCUUAUUACCUAUUAAUUAAUAGUUAUUACAAAGACCUUAAUAUAAACGUUACCAAUGUAUCUUUUAAAUAAAUGCAACCUAUGUUUUUCACAGCAAUAAAACAUGGACAUUAAAGAGGUAAUUAUGACAUGUUUGAACUCCUAACACAAGAUCUAAGCAGCUUAAAAUACAUAACUAAAACUAUAUUCCAAUUAUAUAAUUAGAAACUCGUUGUUUUAUACAAAUAACUACUGUGGAUGACAUAACAAUGUAAAUGGUUGAAAUUUAGAACUGUUGAUGGUUUACACUUUACGUCAGUUGAAAUGAUUUUAAGGACCAUGGUGAAAAUAUAAAAAUAUAAUCCGUAUAUGAAUUAAUGACUCCUGUAUUGUGUUUAAACCCUGGUUUAAUAAACCCUUAUCUGUGAUUGAUUUGUUCUCACUCACGGUUGUGAUUGUGUGUGAUGGAAUGUUUUGCACUACAUUGUGUUUGGGAUGUUCCUCCACCCAGCUUUUCCUCCUCUGCUGCCUCGGGACCCCUUUCCCAAUGUUUGUUCAAUGUACUCUUGCUUGGAGGACUGAAUAGCGCUCAAAAUGGCGCGAAGGGAGAAAGAGCACCACCAGUCUGCUGAUGGUUGACACGAUCCAGGCCUGUUUUAUUGAGCCUUUGGCCACUGGGUGAACUUGCGGCCGUCACGCAGCCCUUGAAACAAACACCUCACCAACACGCGCCAGAGGAAGCGCAGCGCUCCCUGUCU